This 428-nucleotide long non-coding RNA is filed under the name Linum usitatissimum (flax). RNAcentral describes it as "long non-coding RNA (LUSI_LNC007609)". The record is from RNAcentral. Lineage: Eukaryota; Viridiplantae; Streptophyta; Magnoliopsida; Malpighiales; Linaceae.
UUUUGUAUCAUUUCAAAUCCCUAUUCUUAUCGAAGAAAAAGAACGAGAAAAACCGUCCCCAUUAACCGCUCGGGCAUCGACCCAGGAAGAAUCAAUUCCAGGCUUAGUAAUAAUUAAUAAGCCAUGACGACUUCGGGAUAGGCCACUUCGUUCCUCGCGAAGAGGCAGUCUCUCCCAGUUGAUUGAUUGCUUUUUUACUUUCUUUAUCGAGAUUGGCUUGGUGUUGAUUUGCUACAUAUAAGCGGGAGGAUUUAUUUAAGAAUAAUGAUCCCACUCAAACAAAUAGCGGACCUUUCUAUACGAAAUUCAAGCUCAAAGAGUAACCGGGAACAAGAAUCUUCACUCUUUCGACUCACUUAGAAUUAUAUAGAUAAUGAUCUUUCAUCGAGCACUUCUUAUUUCUUUCCUUACUUUCGUCCCUCAGUUUG